GGCAUGAGCGCGUCCAGAGUGACAGGGGUGGAUCGGGCGAGGGCGGCGCCUGGUGCGCAGCCGGCGCCCGCGCAGCCGACACCGGAGGCGCAGCAGCAGCCGCCGGCAACGGAGCCGCGCCACCACAGGCACCACAGUCAGGCCUCCGAACUGGUGUGUGUCCUUGUCCCACGGCGGAAGCACGGCACUCCACGGAACCUAGCGGACAUGAGGAGCGCCUCGGACAAGGGGACAAUGGAUCGCACUUAAAUAAAUAGGCAUUGUUUUGUGCCCCCACUAUAUGUUUGGCUGAGCGUGAAAUCACCUACCUAAAUUCAUCCAGUUAACCGGAAGACGAGACACGUGAGCCACUUCUCCAGAGUGAUCUUUGAAAUGUCAUCACGUGGAGUUGUGUGUCGCACCGGUUCAGAAACGUUAAGUCAAAGUUGUAAUGCCGUUGCAAUACGUAAUCCCCCGGGCCGGAUCGGAACCUGCCGAUCACUGCUUCGGACCUGCACCCUCUGCCACUUACCACUGCGUCGGGCGCCCCGCGGGAGCUGGAGUCGCUGAGAGAUGGCUCCCUUCUGCCAGUGGGUUCGCCGCUAAUGAAGGUGAGACCCCGUGUGGAUGGGGACGGAGCGCUUUAGGCCACAACGAGGACCGACGAGCCGCCUGUAGUGGUUGUGCCCGAGUGGAGUCACAUCACAGCGCUGAUGGUGGACGAGGGACAUCGUCGAUGUUUGCACCAGGCGUCCGCGUCACCCUUGCUCUGUUCUCUGCAGAGUAUUUCAUUCACAGGAGAACCAUACACAGGGUCGUCGGCACACGCAGUAGGUGUCGGUGCCACAACGGACUCCUCCAUAGGUGCUGCGGUGCUGGAGCAGCCCCGAGGCCGACCCACCCGUCUGCCGGCGGUUGGCGAGGUCAUGCUGGUCCACGGCGGAGGCCCUCGCGGCUCGUGACUUUCGGCCAGGGUGGCUUCGCUCAUCAAAAGACCGGAUGGCCGCUGUCGUGCCGCGGCAAUUCUGCUCCGCGGAAAUCUCACUCGCCGACCCACCGCCAAGCUGUACCGGCUGGAGGCAUCGCCAGACACCACCUGUGACCGCGAUGCGGACCUGAGCCGGUCGUCGUGUGGCACGCCUCCGGCGGUGUUUAGCGCGGCUCGGCACCGAAAGAGCGCGGUGAUGCGCGAGCAACGGUGCCGCCCAGGUGCGGGCGUACGCGUACCGUGACGCCGGUGGACGGUCGACGUGACGUGGCGUCGACCCAGCUGCUGAAUCCUGGUGUCGUGACUGUGUCGUGAGCGCAAAAUAAAAGUAGCUUUUGUGCUCCACUCAGACAAAAUUAGGUUUCUUGGUCCACGAAACCUCUCAUGUGCCAAAUAAUCCGACGAUGAGACAUGUGAACCAAUUUUCGAGAGCGCUCCUUAACUACCGCCACGUGGCGUUGUGCCGGUCCAAAAACGUUUGAGUAAAAGCUGCAUUAGAUACCUUUUCAAUGCAUAGUCCUCCGGGUAGGAUCCAAAACUGUCUACCAUUGCUUGCUUUCUGUGGUUAGCGCUUGAGCCUUCCAAUUGCCUUCUGCUAUUUGUACAGGUGAUGUUGCAUCACCGCAAACACGAAGGCUUAAGAGGACUGUUUCCUACUGGAAGAUAUUGAGACAAGUCUGAUACACGAUGAAAAUACUCACUUAGAGCUAU
Molecule: long non-coding RNA, 1678 nt
Organism: Pollicipes pollicipes
Lineage: Eukaryota; Metazoa; Arthropoda; Thecostraca; Pollicipedomorpha; Pollicipedidae
Exons: 2
Source: RefSeq, a predicted model, not a curated record